This 120-nucleotide ribosomal RNA is filed under the name uncultured bacterium. Its description in RNAcentral is "partial 16S ribosomal RNA". It matches the Rfam family "Bacterial small subunit ribosomal RNA", at positions 32 to 148 of the family's 1533-position model. The record is from RNAcentral.
AAUCAACGCUGGCGGCGUGCCUAACACAUGCAAGUCGAACGCGGUUAUCCAGCAAUGGAUAACUGAGUGGCAAACGGGUGAGUAACACGUGGGUGACCUACCUUCGAGUGGGGGAUAACG